Molecule: long non-coding RNA, 984 nt
Organism: Juglans microcarpa x Juglans regia
Lineage: Eukaryota; Viridiplantae; Streptophyta; Magnoliopsida; Fagales; Juglandaceae
Exons: 3
Source: RefSeq, a predicted model, not a curated record
CAGAGUUUCAGAUCAUGAGUACGUAUCAACCAAAGAGAUUCAGCCCCGCCCACACCGUCAACCAACGAGAUGCCAGCCCCGCCCAUGCACACGUCAUCCUUCAUCGGAGGAGAAUGGGACAAGACCAGCCACUGCGCGCCACAGCUUCUCCACGCCACUGCCAUCCUGAACCAAAGAACCACCAAGCAACGCCUAGAUCAGCCUCCGCUUCACGCCGUUAAUACUCCAUGCGCCGCUGCAUCACGAGAAGAUCAGCCAUGACAAAUCACAUGAGCCGUGUAUGACCACCACCCAAUGCAGCCAAGUCCUCUCAUGCACAACGGAAGUCCCUCCAACCAACGGCGCCACCACCCUCCGCUCUUGGAAAUCUAUAUCAGAAGCCACAUGUGAGAGUACGCCAAGAACCAGCGCAACCACCUGCAUAUAUAUAAGUACCGACCGAUCUUGCAGCAGCCUCUGUUUUAAGCAAGAAGAAUAGAGCAUCAUCUCCAAACUGAGGGCCAUGCGUACUCCUGCUGCAAUUGGGCCACGAUGCCACAGUACGCAGCAACAGAACACAUCGUGAGGAGGAAAACAAGCCUCCACCACCCAUACAAUACUGCCGCCUCCCAGCCACCUUGUUGCCGCUUCGUAGCUGCUCUCAUGGAGAGUCUCCGUCGCACAGCCCCUGUUUGGUUUUGCUCUCAUGACUUUGCAGAAAUUCAUGUUACGAAGAUCACACAGGAUGUUAUGGUACUAGAAGCACUUCUCUGCAUUGUUUGUGAAAGGAAGAGAUGAAGUAGACUUUUAUAAGAGGCAGCUGAGAAAUUAACUGUGGAAAGCUGUACAAAUUCUGUUUGGCUAAUCUAUCUGUAAUAGAGUUUCAAAAUGUUUUGUGAGUUGAAAUGUUCAGGAAUUUUUCACAUGUAAUGAUUUUAUAUAUAGUAAUUAUUAAAUCACUUUGAUGUGCUUUGAUUUGUAAUUUUUUUUUAUUAUAUGAAUAAU